This is a non-coding RNA of Saimiri boliviensis boliviensis (Bolivian squirrel monkey), 270 nucleotides long. The record is from Ensembl. Lineage: Eukaryota; Metazoa; Chordata; Mammalia; Primates; Cebidae.
AGUCAAUGAUGAAGGGUAAAAGGUUUGAGUCUCCAGAUCCCCUCCCAGCGUCGCAGUUAUCCCCAGCUGCCACUCCCCCAUUGGGCUUCCAAAGUCAGAAUUGCUGUGAUGGGCAGAAGGGCAGCUGACACUCAGUGAUGUCCCAUUCUGUGUUCCUCCGUGUGCUCAGGGAAGAUGCUGGUUGGCAUCCAAUAGCUUAGUCCCAAAGGGAUUUGAUUGUUGGGAAUGCCGGUAUCUGUGGCUAUGCUCUGACUUGUUAAAGCUAAGACC